RNAcentral lists this ribosomal RNA (758 nucleotides) under Neisseria cinerea. RNAcentral describes it as "bacterial SSU rRNA". It matches the Rfam family "Bacterial small subunit ribosomal RNA", at positions 28 to 776 of the family's 1533-position model. The record is from RNAcentral. Lineage: Bacteria; Pseudomonadati; Pseudomonadota; Betaproteobacteria; Neisseriales; Neisseriaceae.
AUUGAACGCGGGCGGCAUGCUUUACACAUGCAUGUCGGACGGCAGCACAGAGAAGCUUGUUUCUUGGGUGGCGAGUGGCGAACGGGUGAGUAAUAUAUCGGAACGUACCGAGUAAUGGGGGAUAACUAAUCGAAAGAUUAGCUAAUACCGCAUAUUCUCUGAGGAGGAAAGCAGGGGACUUCGGGCCUUGCGUUAUUCGAGCGGCCGAUAUCUGAUUAGCUAGUUGGUGGGGUAAAGGCCUACCAAGGCGACGAUCAGUAGCGGGUCUGAGAGGAUGAUCCGCCACACUGGGACUGAGACACGGCCCAGACUCCUACGGGAGGCAGCAGUGGGGAAUUUUGGACAAUGGGCGCAAGCCUGAUCCAGCCACGCCGCGUGUCUGAAGAAGGCCUUCGGGUUGUAAAGGACUUUUGUCAGGGAAGAAAAGGCUGUUGCUAAUACCGACAGCUGAUGACGGUACCUGAAGAAUAAGCACCGGCUAACUACGUGCCAGCAGCCGCGGUAAUACGUAGGGUGCGAGCGUUAAUCGGAAUUACUGGGCGUAAAGCGAGCGCAGACGAUUACUUAAGCAGGAUGUGAAAUCCCCGGGCUCAACCUGGGAACUGCGUUCUGAACUGGGUGACUAGAGUGUGUCAGAGGGAGGUAGAAUUCCACGUGUAGCAGUGAAAUGCGUAGAGAUGUGGAGGAAUACCGAUGGCGAAGGCAGCCUCCUGGGAUAACACUGACGUUCAUGCUCGAAAGCGUGGGUAGCAAACAGG